Molecule: unclassified non-coding RNA, 78 nt
Organism: Macaca nemestrina (pig-tailed macaque)
Lineage: Eukaryota; Metazoa; Chordata; Mammalia; Primates; Cercopithecidae
Rfam family: Y RNA
About the family: Y RNAs are components of the Ro ribonucleoprotein particle (Ro RNP), in association with Ro60 and La proteins. The Y RNAs and Ro60 and La proteins are well conserved, but the function of the Ro RNP is not known.
Source: Ensembl
AGUUGGUCGGAGGGUUGUGGGUUAUUGUUAAACUGAUUAACAUUAUCUCCCCCUACAGCCAUGCUUGAUUAGCUUUGU